This 244-nucleotide ribosomal RNA is filed under the name uncultured bacterium. RNAcentral's name for it is "partial 16S ribosomal RNA". It matches the Rfam family "Bacterial small subunit ribosomal RNA", at positions 15 to 249 of the family's 1533-position model. The record is from RNAcentral.
GAUCAUGGCUCAGGAUGAACGCUAGCUACAGGCUUAACACAUGCAAGUCGAGGGGCAGCAUUCCAGUUUGCUUGCAAACUGGAGAUGGCGACCGGCGCACGGGUGAGUAACACGUAUCCAACCUGCCGAUAACUCGGGGAUAGCCUUUCGAAAGAAAGAUUAAUACCCGAUGGCAUAAUAGAACCGCAUGGUUUGAUUAUUAAAGAAUUUCGGUUUUCGAUGGGGAUGCGUUCCAUUAGGCAGG